Molecule: ribosomal RNA, 394 nt
Filed under: uncultured bacterium
Lineage: Bacteria
Description: bacterial SSU rRNA
Rfam family: Bacterial small subunit ribosomal RNA
Source: RNAcentral
AUUGAACGCUGGCGGCAUGCUUUACACAUGCAAGUCGAACGGUAACAGGCCUUCGGGUGCUGACGAGUGGCGAACGGGUGAGUAAUGCAUCGGAACAUACCCAGUCGUGGGGGAUAACGUAGCGAAAGUUACGCUAAUACCGCAUACGUCCUGAGGGAGAAAGCGGGGGAUCGCAAGACCUCGCGCGAUUGGAGUGGCCGAUGUCAGAUUAGCUAGUUGGUGGGGUAAAGGCCCACCAAGGCGACGAUCUGUAGCGGGUCUGAGAGGAUGAUCCGCCACACUGGGACUGAGACACGGCCCAGACUCCUGCGGGAGGCAGCAGUGGGGAAUUUUGGACAAUGGGCGCAAGCCUGAUCCAGCCAUGCCGCGUGCGGGACGAAGGCCUCGGUUGUAA